GUCCUAAAUGGACUCAUGACAAAUACCAAGGGGAUGGGAUUGUUGAAGAUGAAGAAGAGACCAUGGAAAAUAAUGAAGAAAAGAAGGACAGACGCAAGGAAGAAAAGGAAUAAUAAAUAUGAAGUAAGAUUACAACAGAGCAGAACUUGCACCCACCAUUUUUUUUACCUGAUUUUUGUUUUCAAAUAAGAAUGUAAGCAUUUUACUUAAAUUUUACUGUUUGCAAGUAGUCUAUAGAAAUUUUGUUUUAAGUCUUCAAAUAUCUUGAGAAAUAGUAGACUGUAUGUUGAAAAUUGUACUGAAAUAAAGUAGAAAAUUGUUACGUACCAUAUUUGUAACUAUCAACUUUUAAAACUUUUAACGUUUUUGUUACAUGCAUUGUAAUUCUGCUUUGUCUAUAAGAUAUGGUCAAGUACAGCUCUGUGAAAGUUCUGAUUCUCUUCCUUCCCUGUUUGUCAAUGUUUUAUUCUGAAGUAAACGUUAGCUCUACAUAUAAAUCCUGGAACAGAAAUUGUUUAUAGAGACUACACUAAUUAUUUUAACUGUAUACAUCUGUUUAAUUUGAACACACUACAUCGUAGGGUGACUGAUUUUUGAAGUAUACCACAGACAAAAAGUUGUUACUAUGGUAAACUAAGCUAGUUUAACACUUGAGCAAAUGCUUAAGAAGG
Molecule: long non-coding RNA, 671 nt
Filed under: Homo sapiens (human)
Lineage: Eukaryota; Metazoa; Chordata; Mammalia; Primates; Hominidae
Description: HSALNT0113715
Source: RNAcentral